UGCGAAUAACAGUCUUGGGAAGAUACGAGAAGAAGAAUCCACGCACGACAAUAACAAGUCAUUUUUAAAAAAACGCUCACAUUGUUUACAUUUCUGAAUAGUUAAAGGAUCUUCGUAGUUGCGGAAUAUGACGAGCUUUUUCGACCAUCCGUAUUAUAAAUGGAAUAAAGUAUCUUUGAUGAGCAUCGGCACUUGGCCGGAACAAUCGCUCUUUGUGACGUGUUUCAUGUCAACUUUUGUAUGUGCCAAUCUGUUGAGCAUGUUCAUACCUGAGGGACUAUAUCUGAAGAAUAAGUGGCCAGAUACGGAUGCCUUUCUCGACUGGUUAGCGCCAUUUUGCAUUCUAACGAUGGCAGUCAUACAAUUAUUAAAUGGCAGUUUCCAACGUAAAAAGUUUAGUACGAUUCUGAAGCAUAUAUCUUCGGACUGGAAGCGUUUUGGUGAUUCACCCAACGCAGAAAUACUUCAUAAGUAUGCUGCUCGCGGACGCUGGAUUACAAAAGCAUAUAUCAGUUGGAUGUAUUCCGCGUGUACGUGUUAUCUUAUGAUGCCCUUUUUGACACCAAAGAUCGUUGAAUUUUUUGUUCCUUCAAACGAAUCGGAGGGGAAAAUUUACCUUUUCAACUCUUAUUAUGGUGUAAACUCUGAUGAUUAUUACUUUUUCAUAUUCGGCCACAUGUUUUGGGGGUCAUGGGUGCCGAUUAUAGUAAUGAUAUCGAGUGACGCAAUGUUCUUCGUAUUCGUGGAACAUGCUUGUGCUCUCUUUAAAAUUGUCGAGACUAAUUUGAAAUCGACAUGCAACCAUUAUGAUGCCACUGAGCGAUGUGGAAAUAGCAGUAGCUUUCAGAUAAUUUGUCACUGCAUAGACCUUCACCAAAACGCAAUAAUUUUUACUAGCCUCAUCGAUUCUGCUUACAAUCUCUCUCUGUUAGGGGUGUUAGGGGCCUCCCUACUAGCGUUGAGCGUCACAGGACUACAGUGUACCUGGUCAAAAAAUAAUGGAUCACAGCACAUCAAUUUUCGAUUAUGCAUACUCAGUGAAUUGGUAUGCACUAACACCAAGAGCGCGAAAGUUAUUAAUUUUAAUUAUGGUUAGAAGUCUGAGACCAUGUCAAAUCAGCGCCGGAAAAAUCUACUUGCUUACAAUGGAAAACUAUAGCGCGAUGAUGCAAACGUCCAUGUCAUUCUUCACUGUCCUCUCUUCAAUGCGUUAGUUUCUUGCUCUUGUGUGAAAAAAUAAAUGUUUUAUUAACUUAUGUCCACGUAAUUGGCAUGUUCAAAUUGUACCGUUAUGUUGUAUUCAUCCAUACACACUGAAAACUGUCACAAUGUUAUUUUGUCAAUUUAUCAAAUAAUUUGCAGAUUUUGUAAACAUGAUAACAUCUUAGUUUUGCAAUACGUUACUUCACU
This 1410-nucleotide unclassified non-coding RNA is filed under the name Venturia canescens. Its description in RNAcentral is "odorant receptor 9a-like, transcript variant X3". Lineage: Eukaryota; Metazoa; Arthropoda; Insecta; Hymenoptera; Ichneumonidae. The record is from RNAcentral.